Molecule: non-coding RNA, 251 nt
Filed under: Bacillus sp. (in: firmicutes)
Lineage: Bacteria; Bacillati; Bacillota; Bacilli; Caryophanales; Bacillaceae
Description: Bacillus sp. T-box sequence
Rfam family: T-box leader
About the family: Uncharged tRNA acts as the effector for transcription antitermination of genes in the T-box leader family. T-boxes are found upstream of many aminoacyl-tRNA synthetase genes and some amino acid biosynthetic genes usually in Gram-positive bacteria.
Source: RNAcentral
UAAAAAACUUUGAAGAGAAGAGUAAAUAGAAUUUAUUCAUCUUAGAGAGCUCCAGUUGCUGAAAAGGAGUAUGAUUGAUCUAUUGAAGCAAGACUCUGAGUUUCAUAUCGGAACCAAUAAUGGCGAUGGUAUGACAGGCGCUCCUGUUAUAGAGCUUAAGUAUGUUUGAAAUGUACUUAAUGAGGUUAAUGUGAUGACAUAUUAACAAACUGGGGUGGCACCACGACACGAUAGGUAAACUCGUCCCCAAG